RNAcentral lists this ribosomal RNA (414 nucleotides) under uncultured prokaryote. RNAcentral's name for it is "bacterial SSU rRNA". It matches the Rfam family "Bacterial small subunit ribosomal RNA", at positions 505 to 918 of the family's 1533-position model. The record is from RNAcentral.
GUGCCAGCAGCCGCGGUAAAACGUAGGGGGCGAGCGUUAUCCGGAUUUACUGGGCGUAAAGCGCUCGUAGGCGGUUGGGUAAGUUGGGCGUGAAAGCUCCCGGCUUAACUGGGAGAGGUCGUUCAAAACUGCCUGGCUAGAGUGUGGGAGAGGAGAGUGGAAUUCCCGGUGUAGUGGUGGAAUGCGUAGAUAUCGGGAGGAACACCAGUGGCGAAGGCGGCUCUCUGGCCCACAACUGACGCUGAGGAGCGAAAGCGUGGGGAGCGAACGGGAUUAGAUACCCCGGUAGUCCACGCCGUAAACGAUGGAUACUAGGUGUGGGAGGUUCGACCCCUUCCGUGCCGAAGCUAACGCAUUAAGUACCCCGCCUGGGGAGUACGGCCGCAAGGCUGAAACUUAAAUGAAUUGACGGGG